Salvelinus fontinalis (brook trout) is the source of this 2256-nucleotide RNA transcript. It is a transcript of the gene named transcription factor Maf, with no coding region annotated. Lineage: Eukaryota; Metazoa; Chordata; Actinopteri; Salmoniformes; Salmonidae. The transcript has 4 exons. The record is from RefSeq and is a predicted model, not a curated record.
AUGGCAUCAGAACUGGCAAUGAGCAACUCCGACCUGCCCACCAGUCCCCUGGCCAUGGAAUAUGUUAAUGACUUCGAUCUGAUGAAGUUUGAAGUGAAAAAGGAGCCGGUGGAGCCCGAUCGCAACAUCAGCCAGUGCAGCCGCCUUAUUGCCGGGGGAUCCUUGUCUUCCACCCCGAUGAGCACGCCUUGCAGCUCGGUGCCCCCUUCUCCAAGCUUCUCGUCGCCCAGUCCGGGGUCGGGGAGCGAACAGAAGGCACACUUGGAGGAUUUCUACUGGAUGUCCGGUUAUCAACCGCAGUUGAAUCCGGAGGCGCUGGGCUUCAGCCCCGAAGACGCAGUUGAGGCGCUGAUCAACAGCAGUCACCAGCUCCAGUCCUUCGAUGGCUAUGCUAGAGGGCAGCAGUUUGCCGGCGGAGCCGGAGGAGGAGGCAACAUGGGCGGGGAAGAGAUGGGCUCUGCCGCGGCGGUGGUGUCCGCAGUUAUCGCCGCUGCAGCAGCCCAGAACGGGGGUCCCCAUCACCACCAUCACCACCACAACGGUGGCCACCAUCACCAAUCACCCGGUGUCUCGUCCAACGGCAGCUCCGGAGGAAACCACCCACACAUGGGACAUUUGGACGACCGGUUUUCGGACGACCAGCUGGUGGGCAUGUCGGUGCGGGAGCUCAACCGGCAGCUACGGGGAGUCAGCAAGGAAGAAGUGAUCCGGCUGAAACAGAAGAGGAGGACCCUAAAGAACAGAGGCUAUGCGCAGUCCUGCCGAUACAAGCGGGUGCAGCAGCGGCACGUCCUGGAGGGCGAGAAGACGCAGCUCGUCCAGCAAGUCGACCACCUCAAGGCGGAGAUCUCCAGGCUGGCCCGGGAGAGAGACGCAUACAAAGACAAAUAUGAGAAGCUCAUCAGCAACGGCUUCAGAGAAAAUGGAUCCAGCAGUGACAACAACCCUUCCUCCCCGGAGUUUUUCAUGUCAUCCAGAAAAUUCCUCCAUCUGUGAUCGAGAGCCUCGCCCCUCUGUGCCCUUGGCCUUGAUGUCUGAGAUGUUCUAGUGUGUGUGUGUGUGUGUGUGUGUGUGUGUGUGUGUGUGUGUGUGUGUGUGUGUGUGUGUGUGUGUGUGUGUGUGUGUGUGUGUGUGUGUGUGUGUGUGUGUGUGUGUGUGUGUGUGUGUUCAGACCUGACUGGGAAGACGGCAGGCAGGCACCUUACCCUAGUGGUGGCCCUGGCAGAGGGGGACUGGAGUUCAACACCCAGCAGGGGGAAAGAGACCCAGAUUCUGCUGACAAGGACAAAGUGACAGAUAACCUGGCGACUGAACGCUGAUGACUUAAGAGUGACUGAUCAAUGGCAUGAGGAACCCCACAAAGCACAACAUCAUCUAAAGAUGACUUCACUGGAGAAGAAGAAAAGAACCCCUAAAACCCCUGCAGAGAAAUGCUUCAGAGCCUCUUCCUACUCCCACUUCCUCUCCGCUAUUUUACCUCCAGCUUUUUUGUAAGAAAACAAAAACAAACAAAACAAAACACUGACUCAAAUGAUGAAUCAAGAUGAUUGACAACAUCAGAAGAAUAUUACUGGAGAAACCAUUUCCUCUGUAGGGGGGGGGGGGACAAAACUUUGAUGCAUGUUACUGUAAGUAGUUCAUCUAAAACCCCACCUUUUUCCCCCAAGUGGGAUCCUCCACUAAGAAGACUCAUCCAAGUCCAGCGUUCCUGAUAUAGGAUAAAAUACCCAAGCAACCCACCUCCUCCCUCUGAAAUCCCUUACUCUAUCUUCCCUACUACCAUUGACAAUAUGUUCCUCGUUUUAGAGAACUUACUUCCUGUUUCAUUUUGGAGUUAGUUAGACUGUAAGACUACUAUAGUGUAUACUAUUUGCAUAAUGAACCAGUCUUCCUCUCCAAUGGACAUGAGUGAUGUACUAUAGCAUGGAUCUGACUUUACUGUAUUCCUCAGUACGCUUGUAGAUCACAAAACUCAUAAUUGUGGAUAGUACAACGAUUACACCUUUUUAAUCCUAGAUUCCUAUCUUUACCAGGCAGUAUUAACUUACUGUAUACCAAGUAGGGCAUUUCGUUGACCUGUACAUUUGACUAAAUGCAUAGAAAGGCAAGUAAUAGCUCAUUGUAUUAUUUGAAUAGCUGCAGACAUAUUAGGGAAACAUUUCUGUCUAUAAAGACCAUGGGACUGUGACUGAGUCAUAUAGUGUUGACUAUAUUAUGAAGGUAUAACCCAGAAUAAAGUCUUAGAGAGUAAACAUA